This 72-nucleotide transfer RNA is filed under the name Diaphorina citri (Asian citrus psyllid). It matches the Rfam family "tRNA". From Rfam's summary of the family: Transfer RNA (tRNA) molecules are approximately 80 nucleotides in length. Their secondary structure includes four short double-helical elements and three loops (D, anti-codon, and T loops). Lineage: Eukaryota; Metazoa; Arthropoda; Insecta; Hemiptera; Psyllidae. The record is from Rfam by way of RNAcentral.
GCCUUGGUAGUAUAGUGGUCACAACGCUCGUCUGGUAAUCAGGAAGGCGUGGGUUCAAUCCCAGCCGAGGUA